Eriocheir sinensis (Chinese mitten crab) is the source of this 3957-nucleotide RNA transcript. RefSeq lists it as uncharacterized. NCBI's taxonomy places the organism in Eukaryota, Metazoa, Arthropoda, Malacostraca, Decapoda, Varunidae. The transcript has 7 exons. The record is from RefSeq and is a predicted model, not a curated record.
AAGUGGAAGAAAGAGAUAGACAGUGCAGUGAAAAGUGACGGUCUGAGGAGGUGGAAGCAUGUGAUGGAGCGAAAGAGUACUUUGGAGUGGUACAGGGAAAAAGAAGCCCCGCAGUGUGUCAGCUGGGAUGAUGGAAGCCUGUGGUGAUCUUCUCUUCCAAGCUCGAGCGCGCAGUGUAUGAGUGUGAAUGCAAGAAAUUACAGGUGUCUGAGUCCCGCAGCAAAGUGUGCCAGAUGUGUGACAGGGGUGUGGAUGAAACUGUCGCGCAUGUGAUACUGGUGUGUGGGAGGUACCGGAGAGAAAGGACGGAGAUGAUGAGGGUGGCACUGAGUGAGAUGGGCUGGGAUGUGAAUGGGAGGAUUGCAAGAACAGAGAGGGAAUGGAUGCUGCUGCUGCUGGGACUGAGUGGUGAAGCAAAUGAUAGAAUUAUAGAAGCCAUGAAGAGUUUUCUGGAAUAGAUGUGGUGUGCAAGAAAUAGGGAAUUGGAAGAUCUGUAAUGGAUACUGCUUGUGUUUUUUAUUUUUACAGGCUGUGCCGAUACGAAGGCCUGACUCCAACGGGUCACCUGUACAGCAAGAGCAAGAGCUCAAACGAACAGCUCAGCACCACCACCACCCCACAAGAAGAAAUAGACAACAGCAGAAGAAAAAGACCAUUACCACAGUGACAGUCUCCUUGCUCAGCGCUGACUCCCGGCCACGGCGAGCACUUCCCUUCAAUACCGUCACGGCGCCAUGGAGGAGGCUGCAGGGAAGGGCCGCACCAUGGGCGACAACCCUGAGGACUGUCCAGUGUGCCUGACAAACUUUGAUGACAUAGUGCAGCGGCCACGCAAUCUGCCUUGUGGCCACACUGUCUGCACACUGUGCAUAGAUAAGCUGAAGGAGCAGGGCCGUGUUACCUGUCCAGAGUGCCGCAUCAGCCAUGCUGUUCCAGAGGGAGGGCAGUUCCCUGUCAGUUAUAUUGCUGAGGCUUUGAUAAGAAUGAUGAGAGAUGCCAAGGUGGCAACAGCAGCCUUGUCACCACCCAGUGCUGGGAAAGGGAAAGAAGCAGCAGAAGCAGCUGACAAAAAGGAAGCGACGGGUUUCUCCAAGAAGAUGCGUUCCUUUCUGCAGGAACAGGAGGCCACAGUUGUGGCCGCCAUCACCGCCUGCCGGGAAGCUCGGUCGCAGCUGGACCAGUACCAGACAACCCUGACAGGCUGGGGCGAGAGGCAGCAGCACCUGGAGGACAGGCUCCAGGGACUGGUGGACCAGAGCAGGAGUGCCAGAGGGCUUGUGCAGCAGGAAAAGUCCCGCACGACAGCCAUGGAGGUGAAGGUGAAGGAGGUAGAGCAGGCACUGCAGGCCAUGCAGGAGACAUUGCACACCCUUAAAACAGAGCAAGAAGCAGGUGUUGUGGUGACUGAAGUGUUUCGUUGCACUGGUGAGGCAGAGCAGGUGGUGCAGGAGUGCCAAGAAUGUUUCCCUGAUGCCAGCACUGUCACUACCGCCAGGAAGGUGAGAGAGGCAUCUAGUGCAGCGCUGGAGGCUGCUCAGGCUGUCCAGGCGGCUCUGGAAACUCCUUCUUCUGUUACUUCAGAGGAGCCCAGGCCCCUGUCAAACCCAGCAGAGCCCAGGCCCCUGUCAGACCCAGCAGAGCUUAGUUCCCAGUCACACCCAGAGGAGCUCAGUUCCCAAUCAGGCUCAGAAGAGCCCAGGCCCCAGUCAGCCUCAGAAAAGCUCCAGGUCCAGUCAGACCCAGGCUCCACCAUCAUGGACAGAGUGAAACUCAUCUUGACGCUGAACUUGAAGGCCAAGGAUCUCCGCAGCCUGUCGCAGCCUGCCUUGAGCCUGAUGCAGGCUGGCCGGGUGUUUGCAGUCCACCAGGUGAAAGGUCAGCGCCGACUUGCAAGAAUAAGCCUUGAAGCCGGCCAGCUGUGCCUCCACACCCUGAAGGAGCAGCACCACUCACUAGAUGCAGCAACCCUGCAGGUCAGCCAGCUCGUCCCGCCUUCCCCCCCCUGCACGGUGUUCCUGGACCUGUCCUGGCCAGGCAGCUCACCACGGCGGGUACAAAUCCAUCUGAGCCCCGACACCCUGCGGGGCAGACAGAUUAUGAUGAUGUGCACGGGGCAGCGUGGCCCCUCCUACCUCAACACCAGGUUAAAUAAGGUGGAGGAUAAGGGGAAGCCGGGAGAGUGGGUGAUGGUCGGAGACUUAAAGAGACUACAAGAUGGUAAGGGGGCAUCCGUCCUGCCGCCUGACCUUGAUGAGGGUGAGUACUGGAAGUCAGGCCGGGCAGGGGCUGUGCAUGGGCUGGUUUGGAAGGACAGUACCCUGGGUGUGUGUGGUGCAUUUGGCAUCUGCACCAGGGACUGUCUGGGUGGUGAAGAGCCAAAUCUUGUCUUUGGUGAGGUGGUGGAUGGACUGCACGUAGUGGCCGAGGCAGCCCAACACAGCAGUAUUAUGGAGGUGACUGUGGUGGACUGUGGCAUGGUGUUGUGAGGGUAAUGGCCUGCACCACCACCACCACCACCACCACAGCAGCGUUAUGGAGGUGACUGUGGUGGACUGUGGCAUGGUGUUGUGAGGGUAAUGGCCUGCACCACCACCACCACCACCACCACCACAGCAGCAUUAUGGAGGUGACUGUGGUGGACUGUGGCAUGGUGUUGUGAGGGUAAUGGCUUGCACCACCACCACCACCACCACCACCACAGCAGCAUAAUGGAGGUGACUGUGGUGGACUGUGGCAUGGUGUUGUGAGGGUAAUGGCUUGCACCACCACCACCACCACCACCACCACAGCAGCAUUAUGGAGGUGACUGUGGUGGACUGUGGCAUGGUGUUGUGAGGGUAAUGGCUUGCACCACCACCACCACCACCACCACAGCAGCAUUAUUGAAGUGACUGUGGUGGACUGUGUCAUGGUGUUGUGAGGGUAAUGGCCUGCACCACCACAACAACAACAACAACAUUAUGGAGGUGACUGUGAUGGUUUUCUUAAUAUUCUGAGUCUUGUGACAUCCAAUGUAAUAUUGUGUGCACUACAUCAAUACCUGAUGUGAUGUGUUACUUAAUUUCUUGUUACAUUCUUGUAACAUCCAACAUAAUGUGUGCACUACUAGAAUACUUGAUGUGAUGUGUUACUUAAUUUCUUGUUACAUUCUUGUAACAUCCAACAUAAUGUGUGCACUACUAGAAUACUUGAUAUGAUGUGUUACUUAAUUUCUUGUUACACUGUUGUGACAUCCAACAUAAUAUUGUGUGCACUACAUCAGUACUUGAUAUGAUGUGUUACUUAAUUUCUUGUUACAUUCUUGUGACGUCCGGUGCAGUGUUUCAUCAUAUGUGCUGGCCUUCCCUUCACAUGUAUCUGCUUACUCCUGUUUGGUGAUUUCCACACUUAUAAUUCUGCCUUCCAGCUUGUGUGGCUGGCUAUUGAGGCAAACUUGUACAUAAACCACUAAGGGUCAACAUAGCAUUUAAGAGAAACUAGAAACAUAGCAAGCACUCUUGUGAUAAAUAUAUUCAAGUAAAUGUAAUGCACAUACUUUUUCUUCUUGUAAGUUGUCAUCUACUUGUAAGCUGCUGUUGAAUCAUUAUUGUAGCAAUCUGUAAAACACAAAAGAGGAAAGAACAAAGAAUCAUGAGAACCAAUUAUUUCAUGGUAAAAUAGAGUUUUAUUUCAGCAUAUUUCUUGAGGAGUUUGCCACCAGCUAUAGCUAAGUCACAUGGCCUAUUUGGUGAUGAGAGAGAGGAUUCUUCUGUUUUAUUUACUGUAUAUAGUUAUUGAGACAAAUAUAUGUCUACUGUUUCAUUCAUAUAGUCAUAGACAAAUAUUCACUUUGUUUGUGCUACCUUGGUCCAAAAUUAGUGAAGUACAGCUUUUUCUCAGUAAAAUAUGCACUUCGAUAAAAACUACCAUUGGAGUCUUCUAGUGAAAGCUGAAUAAAACAUUCUACAUUAAUGUAAU